This 497-nucleotide ribosomal RNA is filed under the name uncultured bacterium. Its description in RNAcentral is "partial 16S ribosomal RNA". It matches the Rfam family "Bacterial small subunit ribosomal RNA", at positions 28 to 507 of the family's 1533-position model. The record is from RNAcentral.
GACGAACGCUGGCGGCGUGCCUAAUACAUGCAAGUAGAACGCUGAAGAGAGGAGCUUGCUCUUCUUGGAUGAGUUGCGAACGGGUGAGUAACGCGUAGGUAACCUGCCUUGUAGCGGGGGAUAACUAUUGGAAACGAUAGCUAAUACCGCAUAACAAUGGAUGACACAUGUCAUUUAUUUGAAAGGGGCAAUUGCUCCACUACAAGAUGUACCUGCGUUGUAUUAGCUAGUAGGUGAGGUAAUGGCUCACCUAGACGACGAUACAUAGCCGACCUGAGAGGGUGAUAGGCAACACUGGGACUGGGACACGGCCCAGACUCCUACGGGAGGGAGCAGUAGGGAAUCUUCGGCAAUGGGGGCAACCCUGACCGAGCAACGCCGCGUGAGUGAAGAAGGUAUCCGGAUCGUAAAGCUCUGUUGUAAGUCAAGAACGGAUGUGAGAGUGGAAAGGUCACACUGUGACGGUAGCUUACCAGAAAGGGACGGCUAACUACGUG